GUAGGAAAGGGUGUGAAAAUGCCAGAGGCUAUAAUUACUAGUACUGAAACUUUUCCCAGGAAUGCGGAUUCCCACGCUAGCCGGCCUCCUCGCCUUGCCCCAUCCCCCCGGUUGCGUCACCGUAUCCCGCGCUCCGGUUGGCUGACAUAGGGGAGUUGCUGCGGGCUCACCGGUCUCCCCUGCGCUGAUUGGCUGCAGGUGAAAGGGCAGGUGGGAGGUGGCCGCUGCUGAGGGAAAUUCGGCCUCUACGGAGGCCGGGUUUUGAGAGCCGCCCCUCGAGAACCAGGCCCCAGCCCUGGGGAAGGCGGCGGGUUCCGGGUAACGUCGACUGAGGGAGGGAGGACCAAGCCAUAGACGCGGGACUCUGCGCCGUGCGCGGAGCGAGCACUAACAGACUGCACAUAUGUCCAACCUAUCAUUCUGAAAUCUUGGUUUAAAGCACAUGGAAUUUAGGGGAGUGACAAGAUCACACUUUGAGAAGAUGCUGGAGAGGAGGCCAAGUGGAUUGACUCAAGCCCUGGAUGAGGACCAGAUCUCUAGGGAGAGACUGCAAGGUAAGAAGGGGAGAAAUAGAAUGAUAUAACAACAGAGAGCCAAAGGAAAAAAUGGAUGAAGUAAUGCCUUUACAGUAAUCACACUGAAUGUUAAUGAAUUGAACUCCCCAAUUAGAAGACAUAGACUGAUAGACUGGAUUUUUUAAAAAAUGAGCCGUCUAUAUGUUGUCUACAAGAGACCCAUCUCAGAUGUAAGGACAAACC
This 758-nucleotide long non-coding RNA is filed under the name Dasypus novemcinctus (nine-banded armadillo). RNAcentral describes it as "lncRNA (ENSDNOG00000051080.1)". Lineage: Eukaryota; Metazoa; Chordata; Mammalia; Cingulata; Dasypodidae. The record is from RNAcentral.